This 253-nucleotide ribosomal RNA is filed under the name uncultured bacterium. RNAcentral's name for it is "partial 16S ribosomal RNA". It matches the Rfam family "Bacterial small subunit ribosomal RNA", at positions 524 to 776 of the family's 1533-position model. The record is from RNAcentral.
UACGUAUGGGGCAAGCGUUAUCCGGAUUUACUGGGUGUAAAGGGAGCGCAGGCGGCGCGGCAAGUCAGAUGUGAAAGCCCGGGGCUCAACCCCGGGACUGCAUUUGAAACUGCCGUGCUGGAGUGUCGGAGAGGCAAGUGGAAUUCCUAGUGUAGCGGUGAAAUGCGUAGAUAUUAGGAGGAACACCAGUGGCGAAGGCGGCUUGCUGGACGAUAACUGACGCUGAGGCUCGAAAGCGUGGGGAGCAAACAGG